CGCGCCUUUCGGGGUGAGCGGCGGACGGGUUAGUAACGCGUGGGAAUAUACCCUUUGGUACGGAAUAGCCUCUGGAAACGGAGAGUAAUACCGUAUGAGCCCUUCGGGGGAAAGAUUUAUCGCCAAAGGAUUAGCCCGCGUUAGAUUAGGUAGUUGGUGGGGUAAUGGCCUACCAAGCCUACGAUCUAUAGCUGGUUUUAGAGGAUGAUCAGCAACACUGGGACUGAGACACGGCCCAGACUCCUACGGGAGGCAGCAGUGGGGAAUCUUGGACAAUGGGGGCAACCCUGAUCCAGCCAUGCCGCGUGAGUGAUGAAGGCCUUAGGGUCGUAAAGCUCUUUCGCCUGUGAAGAUAAUGACGGUAGCAGGUAAAGAAACCCCGGCUAACUCCGUGCCAGCAGCCGCGGUAAUACGGAGGGGGUUAGCGUUGUUCGGAAUUACUGGGCGUAAAGCGCACGUAGGCGGACUGGAAAGUAUGGGGUGAAAUCCCAGGGCUCAACCCUGGAACUGCCUCAUAAACUAUCAGUCUAGAGUUCGAGAGAGGUGAGUGGAAUUCCAAGUGUAGAGGUGAAAUUCGUAGAUAUUUGGAGGAACACCAGUGGCGAAGGCGGCUCACUGGCUCGAUACUGACGCUGAGGUGCGAAAGUGUGGGGAGCAAACAGGAUUAGAUACCCUGGUAGUCCACACCGUAAACGAUGAAUGCCAGUCGUCGGGUAGCAUGCUAUUCGGUGACACACCUAACGGAUUAAGCAUUCCGCCUGGGGAGUACGGUCGCAAGAUUAAAACUCAAGGAAUUGACGGGGGCCCGCACA
This 812-nucleotide ribosomal RNA is filed under the name Ruegeria sp. RNAcentral describes it as "bacterial SSU rRNA". It matches the Rfam family "Bacterial small subunit ribosomal RNA", at positions 67 to 927 of the family's 1533-position model. Lineage: Bacteria; Pseudomonadati; Pseudomonadota; Alphaproteobacteria; Rhodobacterales; Roseobacteraceae. The record is from RNAcentral.